GGGGCUAUGGGGUAGCUUGGCAAUCCUUUCUGGUUUGGGACCAGAUGACCCCGGUUCAAAAGCACUUUUCUGAGGAAUGUGCUGAAUUUCCGGGUAGCCCCA
Molecule: transfer RNA, 102 nt
Filed under: Candidatus Woesearchaeota archaeon
Lineage: Archaea; Nanobdellati; Candidatus Woesearchaeota
Description: tRNA-Pro
Source: RNAcentral